CGAAAGCCUGACGCAGCGACGCCGCGUGGAGGAUGAAGGUCUUCGGAUUGUAAACUCCUGUCAGAGGUGAAGAAAGCCCUUAUGGGUCUGACGGUAACCUCAGAGGAAGCCCCGGCUAACUACGUGCCAGCAGCCGCGGUAAUACGUAGGGGGCAAACGUUGCUCGGAAUUACUGGGCGUAAAGGGUGCGCAGGUGGCUGAGAAAGUCGUUGAUGAAAUCCCGGGGCUUACCCCCGGAACUGUCUUCGAUACUUCUCAGCUUGAGGAUAGUCGAGGAGAACGGAAUUCCCGGUGGAGCGGUGAAAUGCGUAGAUAUCGGGAGGAACACCAGAGGCGAAGGCGGUUCUCUAGGCUAAUCCUGACACUGAAUGCGAAAGCUAGGGGAGCG
This 388-nucleotide ribosomal RNA is filed under the name uncultured bacterium. Its description in RNAcentral is "bacterial SSU rRNA". It matches the Rfam family "Bacterial small subunit ribosomal RNA", at positions 376 to 770 of the family's 1533-position model. The record is from RNAcentral.